CCUGCAGUCGAACGGUGAGCAGAGCUUGCUCUGUGGAUCAGUGGCGAACGGGUGAGUAACACGUGAGCAAUCUGCCCCUGACUCUGGGAUAAGCGCUGGAAACGGCGUCUAAUACCGGAUACGAGCUGCGACCGCAUGGUCAGUAGCUGGAAAGAAUUUCGGUCAGGGAUGAGCUCGCGGCCUAUCAGCUUGUUGGUGAGGUAAUGGCUCACCAAGGCGUCGACGGGUAGCCGGCCUGAGAGGGUGACCGGCCACACUGGGACUGAGACACGGCCCAGACUCCUACGGGAGGCAGCAGUGGGGAAUAUUGCACAAUGGGCGCAAGCCUGAUGCAGCAACGCCGCGUGAGGGAUGACGGCCUUCGGGUUGUAAACCUCUUUUAGCAGGGAAGAAGCGAAAGUGACGGUACCUGCAGAAAAAGCGCCGGCUAACUACGUGCCAGCAGCCGCGGUAAUACGUAGGGCGCAAGCGUUAUCCGGAAUUAUUGGGCGUAAAGAGCUCGUAGGCGGUCUGUCGCGUCUGCUGUGAAAACCCGAGGCUCAACCUCGGGCCUGCAGUGGGUACGGGCAGACUAGAGUGCGGUAGGGGAGAUUGGAAUUCCUGGUGUAGCGGUGGAAUGCGCAGAUAUCAGGAGGAACACCGAUGGCGAAGGCAGAUCUCUGGGCCGUAACUGACGCUGAGGAGCGAAAGGGUGGGGAGCAAACAGGCUUAGAUACCCUGGUAGUCCACCCCGUAAACGUUGGGAACUAGUUGUGGGGUCCAUUCCACGGAUUCCGUGACGCAGCUAACGCAUUAAGUUCCCCGCCUGGGGAGUACGGCCGCAAGGCUAAAACUCAAAGGAAUUGACGGGGACCCGCACAAGCGGCGGAGCAUGCGGAUUAAUUCGAUGCAACGCGAAGAACCUUACCAAGGCUUGACAUAUAGAGGAAACGUCUGGAAACAGUCGCCCCGCAAGGUCUCUAUACAGGUGGUGCAUGGUUGUCGUCAGCUCGUGUCGUGAGAUGUUGGGUUAAGUCCCGCAACGAGCGCAACCCUCGUUCUAUGUUGCCAGCACGUAAUGGUGGGAACUCAUGGGAUACUGCCGGGGUCAACUCGUAGGAAGGUGGGGAUGACGUCAAAUCAUCAUGCCCCUUAUGUCUUGGGCUUCACGCAUGCUACAAUGGCCGGUACAAAGGGCUGCAAUACCGUGAGGUGGAGCGAAUCCCAAAAAGCCGGUCCCAGUUCGGAAUGAGGUCU
This 1236-nucleotide ribosomal RNA is filed under the name Microbacterium arborescens. RNAcentral describes it as "bacterial SSU rRNA". It matches the Rfam family "Bacterial small subunit ribosomal RNA", at positions 54 to 1306 of the family's 1533-position model. The record is from RNAcentral. Lineage: Bacteria; Bacillati; Actinomycetota; Actinomycetes; Micrococcales; Microbacteriaceae.